Long non-coding RNA from Suricata suricatta (meerkat), 1093 nucleotides. RefSeq lists it as uncharacterized. The transcript is spliced from 2 exons. The record is from RefSeq and is a predicted model, not a curated record. NCBI's taxonomy places the organism in Eukaryota, Metazoa, Chordata, Mammalia, Carnivora, Herpestidae.
GGGCGGGGCUGGUGGGACUGGUGCCCCUCUGUCUGCUUGCCUUUCUUCCGUCCCCCAAGGAUUUGGUUUCCCUGAAGGUCACGACCAUGGAUGGGACUUAACUCAGCAUCAGGAGAAAAUCCAAGGGCACAGCGAUCCCCCCAGGAGAGGGUGAAAGCAAGAGCUGGCUGGGAAACGUUUGCCUUGCUUUGUCAUUGGUUGUGUAACCAUAAAAGCUCGGGUCGUGAUCUGUUUUGGGAGAUUUGCGCUGCGCUUUGGGCUCUUUGCUGGCAGCACAGAGCUUGCUUGGGAUUCUCUCUCCCUCCCUUACACUGGCUCUCUAAAAUGAAUAAAAUAAAACUGUUUAAAAAUUCCUUUGGAAACUUCCUUUAUCUCUCCCCCACCCCCAAAGAUGUAUGUUAGCAAUCAGACUCCAAACUUACAGCCCACAGAUACACAUGAAGGGGCUCAUGAGUGAGUCGGUUUUACUGGACCUAGUAAGGUAGUCAAUGACCUUUUCCUCACAGUGGGAAACCUUUUUCCAGAAUACCUUGGAGGCUAGUGCCGUCCCUCCCCCUCCCGACUUGAAAGUGUAUAAUCGGCCACUCUUUUAAGACCCCAGUGCAGCUCUUUCUGCGCAUGUGUCCUGGCCCCGGGCUUUAAUAGAACCACCUGUGUGCCCCAAAGACGUCUCAAGAAUUCUUUCUUGGCCAUUGGCUCCAAACGCCAGCAUUUUCUCCAUCAUGAGGUACACUGCGGGGAGGAAAAUAAGUUUCCCAUGACCCUUCUAAGUCCUAAGCUGAGAGCUCUGUGAUGAAAGAGAUUAACAAGAGGGGGAAACCCGGAAGUUUUUAACGAGUGUGUCACACACAUACACGGGAGAUACCCAGGACAAAAGGAAUAACUCAGAGGUGGUUUUAGAGUCUAGGCCCAAAUACCAUCUUCAUAUGGAAAGAGGAGGGGGAUAUAGGCCCCUCAAGGGCCAGCAGAAAAUGGUUUUUAGGAAAGACACGGGGAUAGAUGGGAGGUAGGACAGGGUGUGACAGUGUGGCUUCCUUACUUCUAGUCUCCUGUGACCGGAGCCAGUCUUCCCCGGUUGAAGAAGCUAGGGAGA